This 253-nucleotide ribosomal RNA is filed under the name uncultured bacterium. Its description in RNAcentral is "partial 16S ribosomal RNA". It matches the Rfam family "Bacterial small subunit ribosomal RNA", at positions 524 to 776 of the family's 1533-position model. The record is from RNAcentral.
UACAGAGGAUGCAAGCGUUAUCCGGAAUGAUUGGGCGUAAAGCGUCUGUAGGUGGCUUUUUAAGUCCGCCGUCAAAUCCCAGGGCUCAACUCUGGACAGGCGGUGGAAACUACCAAGCUGAAGUACGGUAGGGGCAGAGGGAAUUUCCGGUGGAGCGGUGAAAUGCGCAGAUAUCAGGAGGAACACCGGUGGCGAAGGCGGGACUCUGGGCCGAUACUGACGCUGAGGAGCGAAAGCGUGGGGAGCAAACAGG